This 707-nucleotide long non-coding RNA is filed under the name Solanum melongena (eggplant). Its description in RNAcentral is "long non-coding RNA (SMEL_LNC000175)". The record is from RNAcentral. Lineage: Eukaryota; Viridiplantae; Streptophyta; Magnoliopsida; Solanales; Solanaceae.
GAGCUCUGCAAGAGCAUCAACCCUGAUGAAGCUGUUGCUUACGGUGCUGCUGUACAAGCUGCAAUUUUGAGCGGUGAAGGUAACGAGAAGGUGCAAGACCUGUUGUUGUUGGAUGUUACCCCUCUUUCUCUUGGACUGGAAACUGCUGGAGGUGUCAUGACUGUGUUGAUCCCCAGAAACACCACUAUCCCAACAAAGAAAGAGCAGGUCUUCUCAACCUACUCAGACAAUCAGCCUGGUGUGUUGAUCCAGGUCUAUGAAGGUGAGAGAACUAGGACCAGGGACAACAACUUGCUUGGCAAAUUUGAGCUCUCUGGUAUUCCCCCUGCUCCCAGGGGAGUCCCUCAGAUCACCGUGUGCUUUGACAUUGAUGCCAAUGGUAUCUUGAAUGUUUCUGCUGAGGACAAGACUACUGGACAAAAGAACAAGAUCACCAUCACCAACGACAAGGGUAGACUCUCCAAGGAGGAGAUUGAGAAGAUGGUUCAAGAAGCAGAGAAGUACAAGUCUGAGGACGAAGACCACAAGAAGAAGGUAGAGGCAAAGAAUGCUUUGGAGAACUAUGCAUACAACAUGAGGAACACCAUCAAGGAUGAGAAGAUUGCAUCCAAGCUGCCUGAGGCAGACAGGAAGAAGAUUGAGGAGGCCAUUGAGCAGGCCAUCCAGUGGCUCGAUGCCAACCAGCUUGCUGAGUCUGAUGAAUUUGA